This 255-nucleotide ribosomal RNA is filed under the name uncultured bacterium. Its description in RNAcentral is "partial 16S ribosomal RNA". It matches the Rfam family "Bacterial small subunit ribosomal RNA", at positions 524 to 776 of the family's 1533-position model. The record is from RNAcentral.
UACGAAGGGGGGCUAGCGUUGCUCGGAAUCACUGGGCGUAAAGGGUGCGUAGGCGGGUUUUUAAGUCAGAGGUGAAAUCCUGGAGCUCAACUCCAGAACUGCCUUUGAUACUGGGAAUCUUGAGUAUGGAAGAGGUGAGUGGAACUGCGAGUGUAGAGGUGAAAUUCGUAGAUAUUCGCAAGAACACCAGUGGCGAAGGCGGCUCACUGGUCCAUAACUGACGCUGAGGCACGAAAGCGUGGGGGAGCAAACAGG